This 2764-nucleotide long non-coding RNA is filed under the name Homo sapiens (human). RNAcentral's name for it is "HSALNT0128263". The record is from RNAcentral. Lineage: Eukaryota; Metazoa; Chordata; Mammalia; Primates; Hominidae.
AGGAAGGAAGGAAGGAAGGAAGGAGGGAGGGAAGGAAGGAGGGAAGGAGGGAGGGAGGGAGGGAAGGAAGGAAGGAAGGAAGGGAGGGAAGGAAAGGAUCUCCGUUUUGCAUUGUACUUGCCUUUCCACACACUUCGCAAGUGAAAACUUUGGGCUUGGCAUUAGGAGAGCCUCGGCUGAAAUCCGAGGUUUUGAACGCGAUUUUUUCCGACAGAAGCUGGGCGCUUUCUUUCAUGUAAUGCUGCAGCUGAGCCUGGGACAGGUCUUUGAAAGCUACUCCAGAAGGGUAUUUCUCCACCGCCGGGACCACCAGUUUAUUCCUUUCGGCUAAAUACGUUUUUGGCUGCGGGUGCAAAGGGGAACUGAGGAAGUAGGAGGCCACCGGGUGGAUGUUCACGCCGGCUGCCGGGUGGCAUGGGCCGUCACCUCGGUUCAGGUAGCACAAGGCGCCCAUGGCGUGGAAUGAAGAGUGGUUGACCACACGCGGCCUUACCAGCUUGUACUGCUGCAGCGGCAGCGCGUCGCGGGCCAGGUCGCCCUUGAGACUCAGUGCGCAGUUGAGCAGGUCGCUGCAGCUGAAUGCGGGAGCCGAGGGCACCGCCGCGGGCGCCGCCGGGGCCUCCAGACUGGCCUUCCGCGGCUCGGAGCCCGUCACUCCUGCCUUGGGGCUCGUGUCGUAGGCCACAGGCACGAAGGGGAUCAUGCAGGGGAUCGACGAGUUGAGAUGCAGAGAGUGCUUGGGUUCCCCCUUGGCAUCACCAGCCGAACCUGCCUGCCCAGCCCAAUGGACUCCUGCCAGCCCAUCGCAGAGUUCUUGGCGCACCAAUGACUCGGGGACAAUCACUACUUAUUUCUAUCAAUAGAAAGUGUUGUGUCAAUAACGCAGCCAAGAUCUCGCCAAUCGUUAACUUCCAAGAGGAGAAGGGCUCGGGGUUGCCCGCUCCCGGAAUCCCGGAGUCUCCGCGGCCCGAACCGAGUCUGGACCAUUUAGAAGACGCCGGCAGCCGAACACCCGCCGGGUGUGGCACCUCGGCCGAAACUCCUGGGGCGGCGCGGUGGAGCGUGUGGAGGUUUCCGGGAAGACGCCUACGGCUGCGGCUCCGACUGUGCGGGCUCCCGCCGCCCAGGCAAGAGCGUCCAGGAGCGCGCUGGAAGCUGCGGCGCGCACCUUCCCCGGCGCAGUCUCUUGCCAGCCGGCGAUCACGCAGAGCUGAACCCCGCAGCUAGGCGCGCAGGAAGGGCUGCACAGAGUUUGAAGACACGGCAGCUGUAAGCUGGCGUGAGGAGGCCAAAGGAGCGCGCAGAGCUGCAAGCAAAGGGCGGUGGGGCCUGGACCCUGAAGUGAGUGGCCGACCGCAGCAGCUCAAGGUGCCAUCUGCCUGGCAAGCUACCCGGGUCCCUCCGCCCCACUCUAACUUUCCGCGAAAAUCAGUUCCGCCUCUGCCCCAAGAGCCAAGAGGGGUGGAAAGGAAGAGAGCUUGGGCUGGGAACGCGCCUGAUGUCUAACAGAAAGGCAGUGGCAGCUGGAGCACCUGGGCAGAGCAAGCGGAGAGGCGCCACAUCCCCGAGAGGCGCUUCGUAGUUGUCCUUGGACCGGGCGCAGACACUCAGUAUUGGUCAGCGCUGGAAAUUUUCUUUCCUUUUGCUGUUGGGGCCGCAGAACCAGUCUCCUCCUUUCCCCUGCUCAGACAAAGGGCACGGGAAGGGCUUUGCUGGGGCAAAGGGGGGUGGGGGGUUCUCUGUCCCACGACAGAUGGGUCGCGGUUAAGACUUUAAUUGCUGACUUUUGGGCCGGAUCAGAUUCCUUUUCCUACCUGCCACUUCCCAGCAGCGAAAAAUCCCCCUCCUGCUGCACUCCUCCGCCACCGGGCUAGGUUGAAAGGAAAAAGCCAAGAAGCGCGAAGCAGCCCGGCUCUGGAAGGCUUUGGAGAGUCCAGCUGACUUGUACACAAUUCGCGGCCUCUGGAGCCUUACCUGCCUUCUUGACUGAAUGCCACCAGUUCGUUUUACGCUUGUGGCUUUUUGUUGAAGUCCCUAUCAUAAGCAAAUGCAGUUUCUGGCUAUGGUUACUGCAAUUCGAAAUAAAAGGCCUGUGAGGUGUGUCCCUCCAGACUGAGAGGCUAUGACUCAGGGUUGGACUUUAUGGAAAAAAAGAAGUUUAUAAAACAAGUAACCCAGUUUCUCCAACCUUUACUGUGGAGCAACAGCGUCAAGCAACAAAACCCAGCAAAGUUUUGCUUGUCACUUACAAGGGUGUUACUGAAAUCUGGAAGGCGAACAAUUAGAAGAUAGCCCAAACAUGCUCUAUUGCUCUACACUGAAAUACUUGCCUCCAAUAAUAGAAAAAACCUGUUUUCGUGCAAUUGAUUGAUUAGCGUUCUGCAGCAGUCCCUGGACAAUUUUAAAGACAUUUUGUGUUUGUGGCCAAAAUUAGAAACAAGCAGACACACACACAAAACAACCAUAUUCAAGACACGGUUCGACUGUUUCCUUGACACUACCCACGAAGUUUAAAGCAUUUUUUAUGUUAUUUUCAAACUUUCUUAAGUGAUCCCAUGAAAUAAAAGUCGAUAAUAGAAAUUAAAACAACACAGAGCAAAGAACGAGCUUAGUGAAAUGGAGAAGCAGUAGAGGUAAAUAAAAAUCCUCGAGCUAGAAAGCUCUAAGAACCGCUUAUAAAUUCAGUUACCUCCUGAACUCCGGCCGAUGGCCACUCCGGCCCGGGAGUGCCCCGCGCCGACCCGCUGGCCUUGGCCGUCUCAGC